This 500-nucleotide ribosomal RNA is filed under the name uncultured bacterium. RNAcentral's name for it is "partial 16S ribosomal RNA". It matches the Rfam family "Bacterial small subunit ribosomal RNA", at positions 30 to 523 of the family's 1533-position model. The record is from RNAcentral.
AUUGAACGCUGGCGGAAUGCUUUACACAUGCAAGUCGAACGGCAGCACGGACUUCGGUCUGGUGGCGAGUGGCGAACGGGUGAGUAAUACAUCGGAACGUGCCCAGUCGUGGGGGAUAACGUAGCGAAAGUUACGCUAAUACCGCAUACGAUCUACGGAUGAAAGCGGGGGACCGUAAGGCCUCGCGCGAUUGGAGCGGCCGAUGGCAGAUUAGGUAGUUGGUGAGGUAAAGGCUCACCAAGCCGACGAUCUGUAGCUGGUCUGAGAGGACGACCGGCCACACUGGGACUGAGACACGGCCCAGACUCCUACGGGAGGCAGCAGUGGGGAAUUUUGGACAAUGGGCGCAAGCCUGAUCCAGCCAUUCCGCGUGCAGGACGAAGGCCUUCGGGUUGUAAACUGCUUUUGUACAGAACGAAAAGGUUUCUACUAAUACUAGGAGCUCAUGACGGUACUGUAAGAAUAAGCACCGGCUAACUACGUGCCAGCCGCCGCAGUAA